RNAcentral lists this ribosomal RNA (481 nucleotides) under uncultured bacterium. Its description in RNAcentral is "partial 16S ribosomal RNA". It matches the Rfam family "Bacterial small subunit ribosomal RNA", at positions 28 to 523 of the family's 1533-position model. The record is from RNAcentral.
GACGAACGCUGGCGGCGUGCCUAACACAUGCAAGUCGAACGGAGAUACGAUUUCGGUUGUAUCUUAGUGGCGAAUGGGUGAGUAACGCGUGAACAACCUGACUCUAAGAGGGGGAUAACACUCGGAAACGGGUGCUAAUACCGCAUAAGACCACGACCCGGCAUCGGGAUGAGGUCAAAGGAGCAAUCCGCUGAGAGGGGGGUUCGCGUCCCAUUAGAUAGAUGGCGGGGUAACGGCCCACCAUGUCAACGAUGGGUAGCCGAGCUGAGAGGCUGAUCGGCCACACUGGAACUGAGACACGGUCCAGACUCCUACGGGAGGCAGCAGUGGGGAAUAUUGGGCAAUGGGCGCAAGCCUGACCCAGCAACGCCGCGUGAGGGAAGAAGGCUUUCGGGUUGUAAACCUCUGUCCUUGGUGACGAAACAAAUGACGGUAGCCAAGGAGGAAGCCCCGGCUAACUACGUGCCAGCCGCCGCGGUAA